CGCACUAGUUGGGGAGAUAGCGGUGCCCUGUACCUGCAACCCGCUACAGCAGGGAUGAAUCCCGGCCCCCGGAGCUUCACUGUGCCGUCUGCCCCAGGUAAGUGGCGAUGAGAGAUCGGUCCCGCGCAACGGGAACCCGUGAACCGUGUCAGGCGGGGAACCGAGCAGCACUAAGCGGAUCCUCCCGUGUGCCGCGGGGCGGCCGUUCUUGAGCAAACUGCCUGGGUCACGGGCAUAGUGGAGUAUUCA
RNAcentral lists this signal recognition particle RNA (249 nucleotides) under uncultured Intestinimonas sp. RNAcentral's name for it is "Bacterial large signal recognition particle RNA". It matches the Rfam family "Bacterial large signal recognition particle RNA". Rfam says of the family: The signal recognition particle (SRP) is a universally conserved ribonucleoprotein involved in the co-translational targeting of proteins to membranes. Archaeal SRP consists of a 7S RNA and homologues of the eukaryotic SRP19 and SRP54 proteins. Lineage: Bacteria; Bacillati; Bacillota; Clostridia; Eubacteriales. The record is from RNAcentral.